UACGGAAGGCAGCAGUGGGGAAUAUUGCACAAUGGGCGCAAGCCUGAUGCAGCCAUGCCGCGUGUAUGAAGAAGGCCUUCGGGUUGUAAAGUACUUUCAGUCGUGAGGAAGGUGUUAAGGUUAAUAACCUUAGCAAUUGACGUUAGCGACAGAAGAAGCACCGGCUAACUCCGUGCCAGCAGCCGCGGUAAUACGGAGGGUGCGAGCGUUAAUCGGAAUUACUGGGCGUAAAGGGCACGCAGGCGGUUAAUUAAGUUGGAUGUGAAAUCCCCGGGCUUAACCUGGGAAUGGCAUUCAAGACUGGUUAGCUAGAGUCUUGUAGAGGGGGUUAGAAUUCCAUGUGUAGCGGUGAAAUGCGUAGAGAUGUGGAGGAAUACCGGUGGCGAAGGCGGCCCCUGGACAAAGGACUGACGCUCAUGUGCGAAAGCGUGGGGAGC
Molecule: ribosomal RNA, 437 nt
Filed under: uncultured bacterium
Lineage: Bacteria
Description: bacterial SSU rRNA
Rfam family: Bacterial small subunit ribosomal RNA
Source: RNAcentral